Molecule: ribosomal RNA, 1512 nt
Filed under: Candidatus Wolfebacteria bacterium
Lineage: Bacteria; Candidatus Wolfeibacteriota
Description: bacterial SSU rRNA
Rfam family: Bacterial small subunit ribosomal RNA
Source: RNAcentral
UUGAGAGUUUGAUCCUGGCUCAGGGAGAACGUUGGCGGCGUGGAUAAGGCAUGCAAGUCGUGCGAUCUAAGAUAGUCUUUUGACUAUCUUAGAUAAGCGGCAAACGGGGCAGUAACACGUACCUAACUUACCCUAGAUCCGGGCAUAACUCUGGGAAACCAGAGCUAAUUCCCGAUGGUCCUUCAAAAAGUCUCUGGACUUUUUGAAGGUAAAGGCUCUUUUGAGCCGAUCUAGGAUAGGGGUGCGGCUGAUCAGCUAGUUGGUGAGGUAACGGCUCACCAAGGCUAUGACCAGUAGGGGGCCUGAGAGGGUGUCCCCCGCCAAGGGCACUGAGACACGGGCCCUACUCCUACGGGAGGCAGCAGCCGAGAAUCUUGGGCAAUGGGCGAAAGCCUGACCCAGUGACGCCGCGUGCCAGAAGAAGCCCUUCGGGGUGUAAAUGGCUUUUAUGGGGGAUGAAACCUGUUCUUUUAAGGACAGGUUGACAGUACCCCAUGAAUAAGGGACGACUAACUUCGUGCCAGCAGUCGCGGUAAUACGAAGGUCCCAAACGUUUCCCGGAUUUACUGGGCGUAAAGGGCAAACAGGUGGAUCUUAAAGUCUCUUGUCAAAUCCUUCGGCUCAACCGAAGAAAGGCAAGAGAUACUUAAGAUCUAGAGAGCUGCAGGGGCUGGUAGAACGGAUGGUGGAGGGGUGAAAUCCGAUGAUAUCAUCCGGAAUGCCGAAAGCGAAGGCAGCCAGCUAGGCAGCUUCUGACACUGAUUUUGCGAAAGCCAGGGGCGCAAAAAGGAUUAGAUACCCUUGUAGUCCUGGCCCUAAACGCUGGAUGCUAGCUUUGGGGAAUUUAAUUUCUCCGAGGCGAAGCUAACGCGUUAAGCAUCCCGCCUGGGUAGUACGGCCGCAAGGCUGAAACUCAAAGGAAUAGACGGAAGGCUGCACAAGCGGUGGAGCAUGUGGUUUAAUUCGAUAGUAACCGAAAACCUUACCCGGGCUUGACAUGCUCGUCUCAAUGCCUUUCUCGAAAGAGAAAGGAAGCACGGUUUCCGUGCGGGCGAGCACAGGUGCUGCAUGGCCGUCGUCAGCUCGUGGUGUGAACCGUAUCCUUAAGUGGCACAACGAGCGCAACCCUCGAGGUGUGUUACAUGUGUCACACCUGACUGCCGGUUUUAAACCGGAGGAAGGAGGGGAUGACGUCAGGUCCGCAUGGCCCUUAUGUCCGGGGCUACACACAUGCUACAAUGGCGGCUACAAAGAGUUGCGAACCCGCGAGGGGGAGCCAAUCUCUAAAAAGCCGCCCCAGUUCGGAUUGCAGGCUGAAACCCGCCUGCAUGAAGCCGGAAUCGCUAGUAAUCGCGUCUCAGGAUGACGCGGUGAAUACGUUCUCAGCCUUUGUACUCACUGCCUGUCAGCCCAGAGGAGUCUCCUAUACUUGAAGGCCUCAGACGAGGCUUAAAGUAUGGGGGAUGACUAGGGGUAAGUCAUAACAAGGCACCGCUAGGGGAACCUGGCGGU